Molecule: long non-coding RNA, 254 nt
Organism: Leptinotarsa decemlineata (Colorado potato beetle)
Lineage: Eukaryota; Metazoa; Arthropoda; Insecta; Coleoptera; Chrysomelidae
Source: RefSeq, a predicted model, not a curated record
UGGGAAGUGAGUGUACCCUCGAGACGAAUGAGUUUCCAAAUCAAAAUUCUGAUUAAGUUUUCUCGAGUUUGGUGCAGUAUUUACUUUCACGGAAUUUCAAUAGUUCUGCUGGGAAUUGAAUGUGUUGGAAAAGGCCCGAGUUUUUAUUUAAAUUAUUGGCAAGUGCACGAACCUAUCCAGCUUGUCCCCGUCUUGGUGUUGCUGUUUUGUUACAAGAUUUCACCACAUAAUAUGAAUAUAUUCCUAAUGUGUAA